This 396-nucleotide ribosomal RNA is filed under the name uncultured bacterium. Its description in RNAcentral is "bacterial SSU rRNA". It matches the Rfam family "Bacterial small subunit ribosomal RNA", at positions 29 to 418 of the family's 1533-position model. The record is from RNAcentral.
AGCGAACGUUAGCGGCGGGCUUAACACAUGCAAGUCGAGCGAGAAAGGGGCUUCGGCCCUGAGUACAGCGGCGGACGGGUGAAUAACACGUAGGUAACCUUCCUUCCAGCGGGGGACAACGGUCCGAAAGGACCGCUAAUACCGCAUACGUUCCCUGGGACCCUGGUCCCGGGGAGGAAAGCUCCGCAAGGGGCACUGGAUGAGGGGCCUGCGUAGCAUCAGCUAGUUGGUGGGGUAAUGGCCUACCAAGGCUAAGACGCUUAGCUGGUCUGAGAGGAUGAUCAGCCACACUGGGACUGAGACACGGCCCAGACUCCUACGGGAGGCAGCAGUGGGGAAUAUUGGACAAUGGGCGCAAGCCUGAUCCAGCCACGCCGCGUGAGUGAUGAAGGCCUU